GAUGAACGCUGGCGGCGUGCUUAACACAUGCAAGUCGAACGGAAAGGCUCCUGCUUGCAGGGGUACUCGAGUGGCGAACGGGUGAGUAACACGUGGGUGAUCUGCCCUGCACUUCGGGAUAAGCCUGGGAAACUGGGUCUAAUACCGGAUAGGACCACAUUUUGGAUGGUGUGGUGGAAAGUUUUUCGGUGUGGGAUGAGCUCGCGGCCUAUCAGCUUGUUGGUGGGGUAAUGGCCUACCAAGGCGUCGACGGGUAGCCGGCCUGAGAGGGUGUACGGCCACAUUGGGACUGAGAUACGGCCCAGACUCCUACGGGAGGCAGCAGUGGGGAAUAUUGCACAAUGGGCGCAAGCCUGAUGCAGCGACGCCGCGUGGGGGAUGACGGCCUUCGGGUUGUAAACUCCUUCCGCUAGGGACGAAGCGCAAGUGACGGUACCUGGAGAAGAAGCACCGGCUAACUACGUG
RNAcentral lists this ribosomal RNA (465 nucleotides) under uncultured bacterium. RNAcentral's name for it is "partial 16S ribosomal RNA". It matches the Rfam family "Bacterial small subunit ribosomal RNA", at positions 28 to 507 of the family's 1533-position model. The record is from RNAcentral.